GAUGAAGAACGCAGCGAAAUGCGAUAACUAGUGUGAAUUGCAGAUUUCAGUGAAUCAUCGAAUCUUUGAACGCACAUUGCGCCCUCUGGUAUUCCGGGGGGCAUGCCUGUUCGAGCGUCAUUAUAACCACUCAAGCUCUCGCUUGGUAUUGGGGUUCGCGGUUCCGCGGCCCCUAAAAUCAGUGGCGGUGCCUGUCGGCUCUACGCGUAGUAAUACUCCUCGCGAUUGAGUCCGGUAGGUCUACUUGCCAGCAACCCCCAAUUUUUACAGGUUGACCUCGGAUCAGGUAGGGAUACCCGCUGAACUUAAGCAUAUCAAUAAGCGGAGGA
RNAcentral lists this unclassified non-coding RNA (329 nucleotides) under soil metagenome. Its description in RNAcentral is "partial contains 5.8S ribosomal RNA, internal transcribed spacer 2, and large subunit ribosomal RNA". The stretch from base 1 to 120 matches the Rfam family "5.8S ribosomal RNA", at positions 35 to 154 of the family's 154-position model. The record is from RNAcentral.